Molecule: ribosomal RNA, 117 nt
Organism: Carassius auratus (goldfish)
Lineage: Eukaryota; Metazoa; Chordata; Actinopteri; Cypriniformes; Cyprinidae
Source: Ensembl
ACCGGCAGCCAUAUCACCCUGGAGUCCAAGACUAGUUGCCCACUGAAGCUAAGCAGGGUUGAGCCUGGUCAGUACCUGGAUGGGAGACCUCCUGGGAAAACUAGGUUGCUGCUGGAA